CUGAAGAAGUACAGACUCUGUGGCUGCAGCAGGACAUUUCAGAAUGAAAGUAAGAGCUGGCAGGGAAAAAAGAGACGGACGGCGUUCAAGUGAAAGAAGAAGCAGCGACAGAACAGAUUUCUUCACAGAAGUCUGUAGAAAGAGACUGAGGACAGAGCAGAUGUAUUGUUCGGGCCGCUGUACGAUGAUUAGAAGAAGAGGAAGUCCUCUGCAGGUUACCUAUCCCCGAGGAGCGGUGGGCAGCCACCAGACAGCGCCAGGGGAAAGUGACAGUGACGGACCAGAAAAUUAGACCGGAGCACUCAGAGGAAAUGGGAAGACCAUGCAAACUCCACCAUGCAAACUCCUAACCCCCGCUGGAAAUCAAACCCAGCUGUGACGCAACUAACCCCGACCCAAAACACUGUGCCGAUGGAUUUUAACCAGCUGAAUCACUAGAACCUGCAGGUGUGAACACAGUAACAUUUUCAUUAAAUUCUUGCACAAUUUCAGCGCAAGUUUCUGAAAUGUAUUCCUCAUUUUAUUGGUUUUUCUGCAUCAUGCCAGCAGUGACUGUAAUCUGGAAUUUGGGCAGAUGCCAGAAGGGACU
Molecule: long non-coding RNA, 589 nt
Organism: Acanthopagrus latus (yellowfin seabream)
Lineage: Eukaryota; Metazoa; Chordata; Actinopteri; Spariformes; Sparidae
Exons: 3
Source: RefSeq, a predicted model, not a curated record